Molecule: unclassified non-coding RNA, 301 nt
Filed under: Glomus sp.
Lineage: Eukaryota; Fungi; Glomeromycota; Glomeromycetes; Glomerales; Glomeraceae
Description: partial contains 5.8S ribosomal RNA, internal transcribed spacer 2, and large subunit ribosomal RNA
Rfam family: 5.8S ribosomal RNA (bases 1-71)
Source: RNAcentral
GUGAAUCAUCGAAUUUUUGAACGCAAAUUGCACUUUCUGGUAUUCCGGAAAGUAUGCCUGUUUGAGGGUCAGUUAAAUAAAAAUCGGUGUUGUUGCUGCCCUUCGUGGUGACGCGUCGGAAUUGGGUCGUCUUACCUUCGGUUAAGUGACUUAAAAUUUUUGAAGGAUUUUCGAACGUAUUUAAAUGGCUUAGGUACGUUUGAGAUAUCGAAUGCUUAUUAGGUUCGGUCAUUCCAAUGAUUCGCGCAUAUAAUUUUUCAUUAAUUGACCUCAAAUCAGGUAAGAAUACACGCUGAAAUUA